This 66-nucleotide transfer RNA is filed under the name Raillietina sp. 3 Nebraska. RNAcentral describes it as "tRNA-Thr". It matches the Rfam family "tRNA". Rfam says of the family: Transfer RNA (tRNA) molecules are approximately 80 nucleotides in length. Their secondary structure includes four short double-helical elements and three loops (D, anti-codon, and T loops). Lineage: Eukaryota; Metazoa; Platyhelminthes; Cestoda; Cyclophyllidea; Davaineidae. The record is from RNAcentral.
GGCUGUUUAGUUUAAUUUAAAAUAUAGGUUUUGUAGUCCUAAGAUAAUUUUUAUGAUUAAUGGCCU